UACGUAGGGGGCGAGCGUUGUCCGAAUUUACUGGGCGUAAAGCGCGCGUAGGCGGGAAAUUAAGUGAGAAGUGAAAGGCUGGGGCUCAACCUCAUGCAGUGCUUCUCAUACUGGUUUUCUUGAGGGCGGUAGAGAAAAGUGGAAUGGCUGGUGUAGCGGUGAAAUGCGUAGAUAUCAGUCGGAACACCGGUGGCGAAGGCGGCUUUUUGGGCCGUUCCUGACGCUGAGGCGCGAAAGCCAGGGGAGCGAACGGG
RNAcentral lists this ribosomal RNA (254 nucleotides) under uncultured bacterium. RNAcentral describes it as "partial 16S ribosomal RNA". It matches the Rfam family "Bacterial small subunit ribosomal RNA", at positions 524 to 776 of the family's 1533-position model. The record is from RNAcentral.